RNAcentral lists this ribosomal RNA (248 nucleotides) under uncultured Actinomycetales bacterium. RNAcentral describes it as "partial 16S ribosomal RNA". It matches the Rfam family "Bacterial small subunit ribosomal RNA", at positions 85 to 334 of the family's 1533-position model. The record is from RNAcentral. Lineage: Bacteria; Bacillati; Actinomycetota; Actinomycetes; Actinomycetales.
GGGUGCUCGAGUGGCGAACGGGUGAGUAACACGUGAGUAACCUGCCCUUGACUUUGGGAUAACUUCAGGAAACUGGGGCUAAUACCGGAUAGGAGCUCCUGCUGCAUGGUGGGGGUUGGAAAGUUUCGGCGGUUGGGGAUGGACUCGCGGCUUAUCAGCUUGUUGGUGGGGUGGUGGCUUACCAAGGCUUUGACGGGUAGCCGGCCUGAGAGGGUGACCGGCCACAUUGGGACUGAGAUACGGCCCAG